Molecule: long non-coding RNA, 271 nt
Filed under: Solanum tuberosum (potato)
Lineage: Eukaryota; Viridiplantae; Streptophyta; Magnoliopsida; Solanales; Solanaceae
Description: long non-coding RNA (STUB_LNC009009)
Source: RNAcentral
AUUAACUGAUCUCUAGAGUAGUAACUCCAUAUAGCAUUCCCGUUCAAAUAAUUGUUUGCUAACUCUUAUAUAAUAGUUGAUAUAUCAAUUAUUCUUUUAUUGGCAUAAAAACUUGGUAUCUCUAUUUUUUGUAUUUCUUCCUGUUGUCCAAUAUCUUCAGGUAUAAUCAUAUCUUUGGUUAGUCCUAUUUUAAUAACUUGAAUUGGGGGUUUUAUCUCUCCGUAUAAUAUCUCCGCUGGUGCUGUAUAAAACCUUUACAUAGAAUAAAUUU